RNAcentral lists this ribosomal RNA (511 nucleotides) under uncultured soil bacterium. RNAcentral's name for it is "bacterial SSU rRNA". It matches the Rfam family "Bacterial small subunit ribosomal RNA", at positions 26 to 529 of the family's 1533-position model. The record is from RNAcentral.
AGAGUGAACGCUGGCGGUAGGCCUAACACAUGCAAGUCGAACGGCAGCACAGUGGUAGCAAUACCAUGGGUGGCGAGUGGCGGACGGGUGAGGAAUACAUCGGAAUCUACCUUUUCGUGGGGGAUAACGUAGGGAAACUUACGCUAAUACCGCAUACGCCCUUCGGGGGAAAGCCGGGGAUCGCAAGACCUGGCGCGGAUAGAUGAGCCGAUGUCGGAUUAGCUAGUUGGUGAGGUAAUGGCUCACCAAGGCGACGAUCCGUAGCUGGUCUGAGAGGAUGAUCAGCCACACUGGAACUGAGACACGGUCCAGACUCCUACGGGAGGCAGCAGUGGGGAAUAUUAGGACAAUGGGCGCAAGCCUGAUCCAGCCAUACCGCGUGGGUGAAGAAGGCCUUACGGUUGUAAAGCCCUUUUGUGGAAAGAAAGCUAUUACGUUAAUACCGGUGUUCUGACGUAACCAAAGAACUAAGCACCGACUAACUUCGUGCCAGCAGCCGACGGUAAUCGUA